GGAAGGCAUUCGUGUCCGGUGGCAUGGCUGGGCUUCAAACCCAGUUGGGGGCGUCAGACGCUCCCAGGUAGGUUCGACUCCUGCUGCUUUCCGCCA
This 96-nucleotide transfer RNA is filed under the name Alcaligenaceae bacterium. RNAcentral's name for it is "tRNA-Sec". It matches the Rfam family "Selenocysteine transfer RNA". RNAcentral also lists the same sequence under 4 other names. The record is from RNAcentral. Lineage: Bacteria; Pseudomonadati; Pseudomonadota; Betaproteobacteria; Burkholderiales; Alcaligenaceae.